UGGUGUCUGCGCUCGCGACACAUCACAUUGUUAGGCUAGUCGUUUCACUUUUGUGGCGUGUAUUCGAAUAAAGACCGUUAGUUCAGACAGACGACGCUCAAUCUUCAGAGUCAUGUGCUUUCUCGUCCAGUGCGAUAACUGCAAGAAAUAUACCUGGAAGGGUUGUGGGAACCAUAUUCACAGUGUGAAGCAGCAGGCGGAACGCGAGGGGAAGCCUUGGUGUGAGUGCGCACCAGAACAGCGGCGUCCUCGCUGAGUGCAUUGAACUGGAGCGUUUCCCGCUGGUUGACGAAGUCGACAAGCUCGUGGGCAAGUGGUUCACAUGCUGUUGCGAAUCCCUGUUUGUGGACUGUGCGUUGUACCAGAGGCGAUGCGUGCGGAACUCGCGUGAAGUUGAAGGUGUGAAGCGCUUUUUCCCUGUGCACGCAGGCGCUGUGCUCGUGAAGCGCUACUGCAUUACAUUUCUUCAUACAGGCCAAUGCAUGACUUGGGGGUUUGCAUCCAGGACUUUGGGAUGUCGUCGGAGCUUGACGUGUUACGCGGCUGGUCGUGGCGGUUCCACAGCUGCGCACGGAUAUCUAUGGUUCCUGUCAGUUUCCCAGGCAUCGGUUGUCUGUCAGCGUGAACCUGGCCAUGGAGAACGACGAGCUUGGGCGGCAGCGCUUUUGGAGAGACUUCAUUGGCAGCUGUGACUGGAUUUGGAUGAAUGGGCGGCAAAAGACAGCGAUGCCAGGCGGUUACCAAGCUCAUGCCGGAGUUUUUACAGAACAUAAAAUCGGAUAUUGCUAUAU
Cyanidioschyzon merolae strain 10D is the source of this 791-nucleotide RNA transcript. RefSeq lists it as hypothetical. NCBI's taxonomy places the organism in Eukaryota, Rhodophyta, Bangiophyceae, Cyanidiales, Cyanidiaceae. The transcript has a single exon. The record is from RefSeq and is a predicted model, not a curated record.